CCUACGGGAGGCUGCAGUGGGGAAUUUUGGACAAUGGGCGCAAGCCUGAUCCAGCAAUGCCGCGUGAGUGAAGAAGGCCUUCGGGUUGUAAAGCUCUUUCAGUUGAGAAGAAAAGAUUGUGACUAAUAAUUGCAAUUCAUGACGGUAUCAACAGAAGAAGCACCGGCUAACUACGUGCCAGCAGCCGCGGUAAUACGUAGGGUGCGAGCGUUAAUCGGAAUUACUGGGCGUAAAGGGUGCGCAGGCGGUUCUGUAAGUCAGAUGUGAAAUCCCCGGGCUUAACCUGGGAACUGCGUUUGAAACUACAGAGCUAGAGUGUGGCAGAGGGGGGUGGAAUUCCAUGUGUAGCAGUGAAAUGCGUAGAGAUAUGGAAGAACAUCGAUGGCGAAGGCAGCCCCCUGGGUCAACACUGACGCUCAUGCACGAAAGCGUGGGGAGCAAACAGGAUUAGAUACCCCGGUAGUC
RNAcentral lists this ribosomal RNA (465 nucleotides) under uncultured Nitrosomonas sp. RNAcentral's name for it is "bacterial SSU rRNA". It matches the Rfam family "Bacterial small subunit ribosomal RNA", at positions 338 to 795 of the family's 1533-position model. Lineage: Bacteria; Pseudomonadati; Pseudomonadota; Betaproteobacteria; Nitrosomonadales; Nitrosomonadaceae. The record is from RNAcentral.